Long non-coding RNA from Helianthus annuus (common sunflower), 1491 nucleotides. RefSeq lists it as uncharacterized. The transcript has 9 exons. Lineage: Eukaryota; Viridiplantae; Streptophyta; Magnoliopsida; Asterales; Asteraceae. The record is from RefSeq and is a predicted model, not a curated record.
UUCAAUUUCGCUCUCUCAAAUCCAGAUCACACCAUAAAAAGUAAAUCUGCCAUUGAUAUACACACUUUGAGCUCAACUACUCAUCAUUUCUCGAUCGAUCAGUAAGUUUCCAAAUACAACUGUGUGUCAUGAACGAAUGGAUGAUAAGUAGAAAGAAACAAACAGGCAUACAGCAAGAGUGGUGGCAGUAGCUCCGAUUAGACCGAAAACGAGAAUCCCCCAAAUCCCUAUCUCAUGUUCUUCUUCCUUUUGGUAGUGUAUACAUAGUUCUUUUGAUACUUUCUCUCUCCCAAAUCCAAUGCAGACCUCUCUCCCAAAUCCAAUCCAGGCAGCAAUGGAAGAAGAAACCCUAACAAUGGACAAUACAACUUCUUCCGACUCUGACGGAGACGACGAUCAAACUGCUCUGGAAUUACAAACCCUAGCAAUCGAACUCUCCACCAAUCCAGCCAACUACGAUGCUCAUCUUCAAUAAACGAUGAAUCAUGCCAAUCGAAACAAAUUAGCUGGACUUUCUCUUGUCAUGAACAAGUUGAGAAAUUAAUAGUUUUGCACUUAAACAAGGGAUGCAGAGCAACAAUCAUGUUGGGUUAUAAUGCUAGAUCUCGAUUCUCUUGCAUAGAUUCAUAAUAUAAGCCGACCAAUCAUUCUUGAUUGACUGAUCUCACAGCAUGAAUGCAUAAUAGAGUGGAUGGGGCGUACUUUCCACCUUGAGGUCUGGGAACCUUUAUCAAAUCAGUAGAAGCAAGCAGCUUCAGUUGUUGAAGUUUUUAGGAUUGUAGAGGAGGUAGGAAGAAGGUUUGGACAAAGAGAAUGUGAAGAUCUCGAUCUUGUGAUAAGUGAAGUGUAGGAUGAAGGUAUUGAUGUGUAUAUGGUAGCAUAAAAAUCAGUAAAUAAAGUAGCGUUUCGUUUACUACUAUGAGAGUCUGAGUCUGCGAUUCGACAUGCCAAGUUUGGACAAAGAGAAUGUGAAGAUCUCCGUGGACCAGAACACGCUGAUCAUCAAAGUGGAGGAAGAGAAAGAAACAGAGAACGGCGUAGCACCAGUCCAGUGUUAAUAAAGCGUUGAGUUUGAUUCUACAAGAAGGUGCUUCAAAGUGUCAGGAUCUUCGAACUAUUGUUAGGUCGAAAGUGGAGCAAAUUAUGAGAGUGGAGGUGAAUUGGAGGUGAUUAUGUCGACUUUCAGUGCUCGAAAGAAGGAGCUGAAGAACAAGCAGAGGGUUCUUUCUUCGCCCUUCAAUUGACGAUGUUUUAAGUCUAUUGGACCAGAGAUUAUAUGGUUAAGCUCGAAAUCGCAACUGGGUAUCUCUCUAAUUCGGGUCUUUUUAUGUUUAAAACCAGAAAGAAGAGUUGUUUUUCUAUUAGUUUAGUUGAAUUUUCAAACGGUUUCGUUAAAACAGUGUUUUGUGGAGAAAACAGUUGGUUGAAACCAUUGUUGGGUAAAGAUUGUGGUUUGAAACCACUGUUCGGCUAAAACAGUGUUUUGUGGAG